CAUGCAAGUCGAACGGUAACAUUUCUAGCUUGCUAGAAGAUGACGAGUGGCGGACGGGUGAGUAAUGCUUGGGAACUUGCCUUUGCGAGGGGGAUAACAGUUGGAAACGACUGCUAAUACCGCAUAAUGUCUUCGGACCAAACGGGGCUUCGGCUCCGGCGCAAAGAGAGGCCCAAGUGAGAUUAGCUAGUUGGUAAGGUAACGGCUUACCAAGGCGACGAUCUCUAGCUGUUCUGAGAGGAAGAUCAGCCACACUGGGACUGAGACACGGCCCAGACUCCUACGGGAGGCAGCAGUGGGGAAUAUUGCACAAUGGGGGAAACCCUGAUGCAGCCAUGCCGCGUGUGUGAAGAAGGCCUUCGGGUUGUAAAGCACUUUCAGUUGUGAGGAAAAGUUAGUAGUUAAUACCUGCUAGCCGUGACGUUAACAACAGAAGAAGCACCGGCUAACUCCGUGCCAGCAGCCGCGGUAAUACGGAGGGUGCGAGCGUUAAUCGGAAUUACUGGGCGUAAAGCGCACGCAGGCGGUUUGUUAAGCUAGAUGUGAAAGCCCCGGGCUCAACCUGGGAUGGUCAUUUAGAACUGGCAGACUAGAGUCUUGGAGAGGGGAGUGGAAUUCCAGGUGUAGCGGUGAAAUGCGUAGAUAUCUGGAGGAACAUCAGUGGCGAAGGCGACUCCCUGGCCAAAGACUGACGCUCAUGUGCGAAAGUGUGGGUAGCGAACAGGAUUAGAUACCCUGGUAGUCCACACCGUAAACGCUGUCUACUAGCUGUGUGUGUCUUUAAGACGUGCGUAGCGAAGCUAACGCGCUAAGUAGACCGCCUGGGGAGUACGGCCGCAAGGUUAAAACUCAAAUGAAUUGACGGGGGCCCGCACAAGCGGUGGAGCAUGUGGUUUAAUUCGAUGCAACGCGAAGAACCUUACCUACACUUGACAUGCAGAGAACUUUCUAGAGAUAGAUUGGUGCCUUCGGGAACUCUGACCCAGGUGCUGCAUGGCUGUCGUCAGCUCGGGGUCUGAGAUGUUGGGUUAAGUCCCGCAACGAGCGCAACCCUUGGCCUUAUUUGCCAGCCUUAA
Molecule: ribosomal RNA, 1076 nt
Filed under: Alteromonas sp.
Lineage: Bacteria; Pseudomonadati; Pseudomonadota; Gammaproteobacteria; Alteromonadales; Alteromonadaceae
Description: bacterial SSU rRNA
Rfam family: Bacterial small subunit ribosomal RNA
Source: RNAcentral